UACGUAGGGUGCGAGCGUUAAUCGGAAUUACUGGGCGUAAAGCGUGCGCAGGCGGUUUUGUAAGCCAGAUGUGAAAUCCCCGGGCUUAACCUGGGAAUGGCAUUUGGGACUGCAAGGCUUGAGUGCGGCAGAGGAGACUGGAAUUCCUGGUGUAGCAGUGAAAUGCGUAGAUAUCAGGAGGAACACCGGUGGCGAAGGCGGCCUGCUGGGCAGUAGCUGACGCUGAGGCGCGACAGCGUGGGGAGCAAACAGG
Molecule: ribosomal RNA, 253 nt
Filed under: uncultured bacterium
Lineage: Bacteria
Description: partial 16S ribosomal RNA
Rfam family: Bacterial small subunit ribosomal RNA
Source: RNAcentral